GCAGCAUGCUCACUGAGUCUUCCAAUAUAGCUGGAAGGUUUUGUGAGUGAUGGCGAGCGGCGGACGGCUGAGUAACGCGUAGGAAUGUGCCCCAAAGGGAGGGAUAAGCACCGGAAACGGAGUCUAAUACCGCAUAUGGUCUUCGGAUUAAAGCUUUUAGCGCUUUGGGAACAGCCUGCGUCCGAUUAGGUUGUUGGUGAGGUAAUGGCUCACCAAGCCGACGAUCGGUAGCUGGUCUGAGAGGAUGAUCAGCCAGACUGGAACUGAGACACGGUCCAGACUCCUACGGGAGGCAGCAGUGGGGAAUAUUGGACAAUGGGGGGAACCCUGAUCCAGCCAUGCCGCGUGUGUGAAGAAGGCCUUAUGGUUGUAAAGCACUUUAAGCGAGGAGGAGGCUCUUUUGGUUAAUACCCAAGAUGAGUGGACGUUACUCGCAGAAUAAGCACCGGCUACUCUGUGCCAGCCGCCGCAGUAA
Molecule: ribosomal RNA, 475 nt
Filed under: uncultured bacterium
Lineage: Bacteria
Description: partial 16S ribosomal RNA
Rfam family: Bacterial small subunit ribosomal RNA
Source: RNAcentral